Molecule: long non-coding RNA, 865 nt
Organism: Hippocampus zosterae (dwarf seahorse)
Lineage: Eukaryota; Metazoa; Chordata; Actinopteri; Syngnathiformes; Syngnathidae
Exons: 2
Source: RefSeq, a predicted model, not a curated record
CUACAAACUUUUGUGAUUUUAUAAUUAAUAUUACAAGUCAAUCCAAAAAUCCUCAAAGACAAAAUCAAAACCCAUGACACGCACAUAGAAUUGAGAUUUGAUGCCAGCACUUCACAAAAGGCAAAACUCGUUCAUCCAGCUCGUUCAACACUAACCCGAAAGCCACAUGGUCCGAUCCUAUGUUACAUCAGGAAAAAAAUAAUAAUAAAUCGGCGAGCUUGGAUCACACUUUGCCUUGCAGAUGCACAAUGUACCCCCACUACAACAACGCAUCCCAUGAGGACGUGCUGGCGAUGGCGCAAGACCCCCAGCUCACAACCCUCGGGACCUUCCGGCAUACGGUGACUUCAACAUCAGCUAAAAAGUUAGCGGAUGUGCACGUCAGCACUUUGCGGCGCAGUUAUCAUUGUACAAGGUGAGGUAUGUGUAUGUGUUAUUUGUCUCCCAUAUCAUAUUCUCCGGAGUAUUUAGCCACAAAUGGAAAAAGUUGGUCGGCCCGGUAGCCCAGUGGUUAGCACGUCGGCUUCACAGUGCAGAGGUACCGGUUUCGAUUCCAGCUCCGGCCUCCCUGUGUGGAGUUUGCAUGUUCUCCCCGGGCCUGCGUGGGUUUUCUCCGGGUGCUCCGGUUUCCUCCCACAUUCCAAAAACAUGCGUGGCAGGCUGAUUGGACGCUCUAAAUUGUCCCUAGGUGUGAGUGUGAGCGUGGAUGGUUGUUCGUCUCUGUGUGCCCUGCGAUUGGCUGGCAACCGAUUCAGGGUGUCCCCCGCCUACUGCCCGAAGACGGCUGGGAUAGGCUCCAGCACCCCCCGCGACCCUAGUGAGGAUCAAGCGGUUCGGAAAAUGGAUGGAUGGAUGGAUGUAUUAA